CAGCAGCCACGGUAAUACAGAGGGUGCGAGCGUUAAUCGGAUUUACUGGGCGUAAAGCGUGCGUAGGCGGCUUUUUAAGUCGGAUGUGAAAUCCCUGAGCUUAACUUAGGAAUUGCAUUCGAUACUGGGAAGCUAGAGUAUGGGAGAGGAUGGUAGAAUUCCAGGUGUAGCGGUGAAAUGCGUAGAGAUCUGGAGGAAUACCGAUGGCGAAGGCAGCCAUCUGGCCUAAUACUGACGCUGAGGUACGAAAGCAUGGGGAGCAAACAGGAUUAGAUACCCCAGUAGUCCCUGUCUCUUUACA
This 301-nucleotide ribosomal RNA is filed under the name uncultured bacterium. Its description in RNAcentral is "partial 16S ribosomal RNA". It matches the Rfam family "Bacterial small subunit ribosomal RNA", at positions 509 to 808 of the family's 1533-position model. The record is from RNAcentral.